AUGUUGACUAAAGUCAACUCAGUUGAGUUUUUAAAGCUCUAAUUCACAUUUGGGCCUUUACUGCAGGUGUCUUACAUUUGUUUUCACUAUAUUUAACUUGUGCAAAAGAUGAAAAGAACCAACGCUAGAAGUAGUCGAAGGAAGCCAAUAAAAGUAUUAAUACAAUGUCAUUUCCGUGUAUGACGGUCAAGAUGUUCAUUUUACUUUUGCAUCUCCAGAUGAACUCAACUGAUGAUGUUGUUAAGAACUCAACAUAUGAUGCAUCCUCGGGUUGCUUUAAUGUGCCUACCCGGACAACUUCUGUGUUUGUUGAGCCUCGGUAAAAUUUGGUUUAUUGAACCUGGUCCAUUCUAAAAAAUGGCCACCGGAGGAUCAAGAAAUAAGUAAUAGGCUUAUGGUUGGACAUAUAUAGACAAUUUUGGAUCCGGGAGCAAUGGAAGGGAGAAAGGUUCAGUUAGAAGAGAAUAUACCACAAAAAUUAUCCAUUUUUCUGCUUAUUUACCAGGGAAUUAAGUAACCAGAAAGAAGCUUUGUCUUUUAAGUUGAUAAUCAAAGAGAAUUGCUAUGUCAAAUAUUUGUGUAAUACUAGUGUCUUAAAUUCAAUAUUUGUUUUUCUAGUUAUUUAAGUACCUUCUUUUUGUAUCAAAUUUUAAUAAAUUCCACGAUUUUUGCGCUGU
Molecule: non-coding RNA, 677 nt
Organism: Nicotiana tabacum (common tobacco)
Lineage: Eukaryota; Viridiplantae; Streptophyta; Magnoliopsida; Solanales; Solanaceae
Source: RefSeq, a predicted model, not a curated record